Molecule: non-coding RNA, 148 nt
Filed under: Gorilla gorilla gorilla (western lowland gorilla)
Lineage: Eukaryota; Metazoa; Chordata; Mammalia; Primates; Hominidae
Source: Rfam by way of RNAcentral
GCCAGGUGCGGUGAUGUGUGCCUGUAGUCCCAGCUACUUGGGAGGCUGAGCCAGGAGGAUCACUGGAGCCUAGGAGUUCAAGGCUGCAGUGAACUGUGAUUGCACCACUGCACUCCAGCCGGGGUGACACAGUGAGACCCUGUCUCUA